This 853-nucleotide ribosomal RNA is filed under the name Bacillus cereus. RNAcentral's name for it is "bacterial SSU rRNA". It matches the Rfam family "Bacterial small subunit ribosomal RNA", at positions 57 to 887 of the family's 1533-position model. The record is from RNAcentral. Lineage: Bacteria; Bacillati; Bacillota; Bacilli; Caryophanales; Bacillaceae.
GCAAGUCGAGCGAAUGGAUUAAGAGCUUGCUCUUAUGAAGUUAGCGGCGGACGGGUGAGUAACACGUGGGUAACCUGCCCAUAAGACUGGGAUAACUCCGGGAAACCGGGGCUAAUACCGGAUAACAUUUUGAACCGCAUGGUUCGAAAUUGAAAGGCGGCUUCGGCUGUCACUUAUGGAUGGACCCGCGUCGCAUUAGCUAGUUGGUGAGGUAACGGCUCACCAAGGCAACGAUGCGUAGCCGACCUGAGAGGGUGAUCGGCCACACUGGGACUGAGACACGGCCCAGACUCCUACGGGAGGCAGCAGUAGGGAAUCUUCCGCAAUGGACGAAAGUCUGACGGAGCAACGCCGCGUGAGUGAUGAAGGCUUUCGGGUCGUAAAACUCUGUUGUUAGGGAAGAACAAGUGCUAGUUGAAUAAGCUGGCACCUUGACGGUACCUAACCAGAAAGCCACGGCUAACUACGUGCCAGCAGCCGCGGUAAUACGUAGGUGGCAAGCGUUAUCCGGAAUUAUUGGGCGUAAAGCGCGCGCAGGUGGUUUCUUAAGUCUGAUGUGAAAGCCCACGGCUCAACCGUGGAGGGUCAUUGGAAACUGGGAGACUUGAGUGCAGAAGAGGAAAGUGGAAUUCCAUGUGUAGCGGUGAAAUGCGUAGAGAUAUGGAGGAACACCAGUGGCGAAGGCGACUUUCUGGUCUGUAACUGACACUGAGGCGCGAAAGCGUGGGGGAGCAAACAGGAUUAGAUACCCUGGUAGUCCACGCCGUAAACGAUGAGUGCUAAGUGUUAGAGGGUUUCCGCCCUUUAGUGCUGAAGUUAACGCAUUAAGCACUCCGCCUGGGGGAGUACGGCC